Aegilops tauschii subsp. strangulata is the source of this 2340-nucleotide non-coding RNA. Lineage: Eukaryota; Viridiplantae; Streptophyta; Magnoliopsida; Poales; Poaceae. The record is from RefSeq and is a predicted model, not a curated record.
CCUACCCCAACUUGUUUGGGACUAAAGGCUUUGUUGUUGUUGUUGUUUUCUACUUGCUUCAGUUUAUUUUCCUUAGGUAACCUGUCAGGUUUUGCAUACUGUUUGAACUGGAGGGUGGGCAGUCUUGCUAUCAACAUGUAAAGAGGUUAUCAAAAGAAGAAUCCAAAGCAUCAUCCUUUGCUCUUCCAUCUUUUGCAAAGCAGCAUCAGCUCGUGGGAGCAUAUUCAGUUGUAAGAGACUGGUCCUGGCAGCUAUUUAGAACUGUAGGUUAUAUAUGACCUGAAGCUUUCUGCUCUAGCGUCUGUGAACCUCUUUGAGGCUUAGUUGCCUCUGCAUCUUUCAGAGGGAAUGGAAGGCAUCAAAAAAAUUGGUGUCUUCACUGGAAGUUAAGGGUUUUAUGUGUUUUUAUGGUAAACAAGAAAAACUGCUUUGGUCUAAGAAUCUUUCCAUUGUCAAUAAAACUGAAGUUCCUUAGUCUCUUAUCCUUUUUCCCAUAAGUGUACACUAGUACACGAUUUGUUCCUUUUCCAAUCAUCCUUUGUAAAUUGGUCGUUGGAGGCAUAUAUAAAGUAGAGUACAAAUCCAAUUGGAAUCAAUCGUGAAUAGCGCAUCCCAAUUGCAUGAGCUACUUAUCUCAUGAAUGGAGGUUCUUCGUCCAAGCGCCAUGGCAUCAAUUCGUUUCUCAGUGUCCUUGGCAUCUGUGUUCAACCUCAAGUUGCACGCACAAUUUGGUGAGCUAUGCUUUUCAUAUGCAUUUUCUUUCUCAUCAAUGCUCCUAGAUACACAGUUUUGUUUCUUUUUGCCGAUGCUCCUUGCCCACAUCCUAAUCUCAAUAUUCCUCCCAUAGCACUCCAGCUUUCUGUGGUUUUCACAGAAUAUAUGCUGCCUGAGCCUGCAAAUAAACUAUCACGGCGGCGACUAUCUUACACUUAUUGAUAGUUACUGUUCAGCGAUGCUCGUUGAGCAACUAGUCUGAUCUAUUGGUUAUGUGACGCUCUUGCAGUUCAUGGGCACCGGGGAAGCACCUGAAAGGGUUCGUUCCUGAUAUGGUAUCCAAUGCCAAAUUUGCACUCGAGAUUUUUUACCUCGUUUAUAUCUGUGUAUAUGUGCUCUUAUGCCACGUGGUUAGAUUUGUUUCAAAGAAAUCUGUGAUUAAAAUUAGAUUAUGUUGAGGUGGUCGAGAGGGACAUCUUCCGUAUUCUUUGUUGGGAGCAUCUUUGGAGCAUAUGGCAUUUCAAUUCCUGGUCAGUGCUUUUGAUUUUGCUCUCCUUUUCAUAUUCCAGUGAUCAGAUUAACAUUAGUCACUUUCGUGCACAAUAUUCCCCUUUAGAUUGUACAUAGUGGUGCCACAUUUCGCCUCCUGGUUAAUUGCAGAUGUAUUAUCACUUUCUCGGGUGUUAGGUGCAUCAGGAUUUGUCUGCCUGGUAGAGAUGGUACUGAUCAACAGCAUCACACCAAACUUGCUGAUGUUCACCUAUUUCUUCCGGAAAAAGUUGAUGAUGCUCUCUUUCUAGGACAACAUACACCAAAACUUGCACCAGCUUAUGCUGGAUACUGUCAUUCUUCCUCAUUUGUUUGAGUCUGACUUCUAUUCAUCACAUAGGUGCUGUAUGAGUAAUUGUUGUAUAACCUUUCUUCAUCAGUGGGUGCUCUCGAGUCCUGACCACUAGAUCUGAAAAAAAUGGAUCCUGUGGUUCCCUACAUGGGAUACAUGCUAGAUGAGCUAGGACUGGCACUAGACUGUCUGCUACGAGCUCCACCUGAAAGCCAAGAUUUAGCCUAGGGCCUGCCGGUCUGGGUUGGCGAUGAUUGCUGAGGUUUGACAUCGGCACGGUCAUAAAUCUUCUUCCACCUGAUACCUGAUAGGGGAGAAAACAAGAAGGAUGGUGAUAUGCAAGCUGCUCCACAGAUCGUGUCUAAAGCUGGCUACCGAAAGUUGGGGGUGCAAUGGCAUCGCAACCCAACUCCGCACUCUGGAGAUGAGGAAUUUGGGAUAGUGAUAGGUGGAUGCGGAUGGAGGCAUUAACAUCUCUCCGCACGAUCACCAUUCUAGUUACAUACAUGCACUUGACCGGCAGUAAAGAAGCUGUUCUUUGUUCGCCGGAGCAAAUGCUCUGCUUUUUAGCAGAGAAAUUGCGCCAUUUUCUGCUGUGAUAUUCUUGUGCGCGAAGUCAUGCGAUAUUCGCGAGGGGUGAUGAAAGUAGGAAAUAUUUUUACGAGUAUUUGUAGGAAAUAAAGUUGGCAAUGGGAAAAGGACAGGGUUUUGGUCUUUGUGUCGGUUUAGUAGACUAUAAUUUAACUGUCAAUAUGAAUAUCACAGUUGGCGUUGUGUUUGCUGAA